This 490-nucleotide long non-coding RNA is filed under the name Anser cygnoides (Swan goose). RNAcentral describes it as "lncRNA (ENSACDG00005005561.1)". The record is from RNAcentral. Lineage: Eukaryota; Metazoa; Chordata; Aves; Anseriformes; Anatidae.
AUGCUCAUGCUAUUGUGGCAGAAGGACCCUACAAUUUUAAGAACUGCCUUCACAAACAGCCUAAAAAUCAGACAGGAAAUCAGACACAAGGAAGGAUAUGGGAUAACAAGAGAAUGCUAUUUUAUUGUAAGAAGAACAGGAAUCUUUAUACGAUGGGACAUACUGGAGAAUGUCAGGAGCUUUCAUGUGUGGGUGUUUAAAGGAAAGCAUCAUCCAGACUGGAGUGGAAAAGAAAAAGAUGACAAGCUGGAAACACACACACACAUAUACACACAAAUCGAGUGAGGGACCUUAAACUAUAAGGAUUGGCUGAGUCUUGAGCUCUGAAGGACAAAAAAAAAGUUAGAGGCUGGAUUUUUGCCUGGUUUCCCUUCAAAUCAACAUUUAUCCCCUGCUCAGCUGACAUCAGUGGAAAUAUCAAAAAAUCUUUCUUUUGCAUGCUAACAGAAAUAAUACGGACGUAUAAAAAUAAAAAUAACUAAAGAAGACA